UACGUAGGGUGCGAGCGUUGUCCGGAAUUAUUGGGCGUAAAGAGCUUGUAGGCGGUCUGUCGCGUCUGCUGUGAAAAUCCGGGGCUCAACCCCGGACUUGCAGUGGGUACGGGCAGGCUAGAGUUCGGUAGGGGAGACUGGAAUUCCUGGUGUAGCGGUGAAAUGCGCAGAUAUCAGGAGGAACACCGAUGGCGAAGGCAGGUCUCUGGGCCGAUACUGACGCUGAGGAGCGAAAGCGUGGGGAGCGAACAGG
Molecule: ribosomal RNA, 253 nt
Filed under: uncultured bacterium
Lineage: Bacteria
Description: partial 16S ribosomal RNA
Rfam family: Bacterial small subunit ribosomal RNA
Source: RNAcentral